ACGGAGGAUCCAAGCGUUAUCCGGAUUUAUUGGGUUUAAAGGGUGCGCAGGCGGAUCAAUAAGUCAGGGGUGAAAAAUUUCAGCUUAACUGGAAUCGUGCCUUUGAUACUGUUGGACUAGAGUAUAAUUGACGUGACUGGAAUGUGAUGUGUAGCGGGGAAAUGAUUAGAUAUGUCACAGAACGCAAAUCGUGAAGAAAGAUAAAGAAAUUAUAAAUGAAGCUCAUUCAAGAAAGACUGGUGAUCAAAAAG
Molecule: ribosomal RNA, 251 nt
Filed under: uncultured prokaryote
Description: partial 16S rRNA
Rfam family: Bacterial small subunit ribosomal RNA
Source: RNAcentral